Molecule: ribosomal RNA, 253 nt
Filed under: uncultured bacterium
Lineage: Bacteria
Description: partial 16S ribosomal RNA
Rfam family: Bacterial small subunit ribosomal RNA
Source: RNAcentral
UACAGAGGGGGCAAGCGUUGUUCGGAAUUACUGGGCGUAAAGGGCGCGUAGGCGGCCUUCUAAGUCAUGCGUGAAAUCCCCGGGCUCAACCCGGGAACUGCGUCUGAUACUGGAAGGCUCGAAUCCGGGAGAGGGAUGUGGAAUUCCAGGUGUAGCGGUGAAAUGCGUAGAUAUCUGGAGGAACACCGGUGGCGAAGGCGGUCUUCUGGACGGUGACUGACGCUGAGGCGCGAAAGCGUGGGGAGCAAACGGG